RNAcentral lists this ribosomal RNA (475 nucleotides) under uncultured bacterium. Its description in RNAcentral is "bacterial SSU rRNA". It matches the Rfam family "Bacterial small subunit ribosomal RNA", at positions 37 to 507 of the family's 1533-position model. The record is from RNAcentral.
UGGCGGCAGGCUUAACACAUGCAAGUCGAGCGGUAGCAGAUCUAGCUUGCUAGAUGCUGACGAGCGGCGGACGGGUGAGUAACGCGUAGGAACCUGCCCAGUAGUGGGGGAUAGCCCGGGGAAACUCGGAUUAAUACCGCAUACGCUCUACGGAGGAAAGAGGGGGCUUCGGCUCUCGCUAUUGGAUGGGCCUGCGUGAGAUUAGCUAGUUGGUGAGGUAAUGGCUCACCAAGGCGACGAUCUCUAGCUGGUCUGAGAGGAUGAUCAGCCACACUGGGACUGAGACACGGCCCAGACUCCUACGGGAGGCAGCAGUGGGGAAUAUUGCACAAUGGGCGCAAGCCUGAUGCAGCCAUGCCGCGUGUGUGAAGAAGGCUUUCGGGUUGUAAAGCACUUUCAGUAGGGAGGAAGGCCUCGUAGUUAAUAGCUGCGAGGAUUGACGUUACCCACAGAAGAAGCACCGGCUAACUCCGUG